RNAcentral lists this ribosomal RNA (962 nucleotides) under uncultured bacterium. Its description in RNAcentral is "bacterial SSU rRNA". It matches the Rfam family "Bacterial small subunit ribosomal RNA", at positions 535 to 1500 of the family's 1533-position model. The record is from RNAcentral.
CGAAUGCUAUCGGAUUCAUUGGGCGUAAGGGUGUGUAGGUGGCGCCGUAAGUCGGAUGUGAAAUUUCGGAGCUUAACUCCGAAACUGCAUUCGAUACUGCGGUGCUUGAGGACUGGAGAGGAGACUGGAAUUUACGGUGUAGCAGUGAAAUGCGUAGAUAUCGUAAGGAAGACCAGUGGCGAAGGCGGGUCUCUGGACAGUUCCUGACACUGAGACACGAAGGCCAGGGGAGCAAACGGGAUUAGAUACCCCGGUAGUCCUGGCAGUAAACGGUGCACGUUUGGUGUGGGAGGAUUCGACCCCUUCUGCGCCGGAGCCAACGCGUUAAACGUGCCGCCUGGGGAGUACGGUCGCAAGAUUAAAACUCAAAGAAAUUGACGGGGGCCCGCACAAGCGGUGGAGUAUGUGGCUCAAUUCGAUGCAACGCGAAGAACCUUACCAGGCCUUGACAUGCAUCUCUAAACCGGUGAAAGCCGGCGAGUGUCGAAAGACACAAUUUGCACAGGUGCUGCAUGGCUGUCGUCAGCUCGUGUCGUGAGAUGUUGGGUUAAGUCCCGCAACGAGCGCAACCCCUGUGAACUGUUGCCACCGGAGCGAGAGCUCCGAGCACUCUGUUCAGACUGCCUCGCUUAAACGAGGAGGAAGGUGGGGACGACGUCAAGUCAGUAUGGCCCUUACGGCCUGGGCUGCACACGUACUACAAUGCCCAGUACAGAACGAUCCGAGACCGCGAGGUGGAGGAAAUCUAUCGAAAACUGGGCCCAGUUCGGAUUGGAGGCUGCAAUUCGCCUCCAUGAAGCCGGAAUCGCUAGUAAUGGCGUAUCAGCUACGACGCCGUGAAUACGUUCCCGGGCCUUGUACACACCGCCCGUCACAUCAUGAAAGCCGUUUGUACCCGAAGUCGCCCCUUAAAAGGCGCCGAAGUAUGGAUGGUGAUUGGGAUGAAGUCGUAACAAGGUAAC